AUUGAACGCUGGCGGAAUGCUUUACACAUGCAAGUCGAACGGCAGCACGGACUUCGGUCUGGUGGCGAGUGGCGAACGGGUGAGUAAUGUAUCGGAACGUGCCCAGUCGUGGGGGAUAACGUAGUGAAAAUUACGCUAAUACCGCAUACGAUCUAUGGAUGAAAGCGGGGGAUCGCAAGACCUCGCGCGAUUGGAGCGGCCGAUAUCAGAUUAGGUAGUUGGUGGGGUAAAGGCCCAGCAAGCCAACGAUCUGUAGCUGGUCUGAGAGGACGACCAGCCACACUGGAACUGAGACACGGUCCAGACUCCUACGGGAGGCAGCAGUGGGGAAUUUUGGACAAUGGGCGAAAGCCUGAUCCAGCCAUUCCGCGUGCAGGAUGAAGGCCCUCGGGUUGUAAACUGCUUUUGUACAGAACGAAAAGGUUUCUACUAAUACUAGGAGCUCAUGACGGUACUGUAAGAAUAAACACCGGCUAACUACGUGCCAGCCGCCGCGGUAA
Molecule: ribosomal RNA, 500 nt
Filed under: uncultured bacterium
Lineage: Bacteria
Description: partial 16S ribosomal RNA
Rfam family: Bacterial small subunit ribosomal RNA
Source: RNAcentral